This 485-nucleotide ribosomal RNA is filed under the name Pseudodatames sp. Ma019. RNAcentral describes it as "partial large subunit ribosomal RNA". The stretch from base 344 to 485 matches the Rfam family "Bacterial large subunit ribosomal RNA", at positions 2473 to 2615 of the family's 2925-position model. Lineage: Eukaryota; Metazoa; Arthropoda; Insecta; Phasmatodea; Bacillidae. The record is from RNAcentral.
GAUUUAUUUAAUGGCUGCGGUAUCUUGACCGUACAAAGGUAGCAUAAUCAUUAGUUUAUUAAUUGUGGACUUGUAUGAAUGGUUGGACGAAAUAUUAACUGUCUCAUUAUUAUUAUUAGAAUUUAAAUUUUUAGUUAAAAUGCUUAAAUUUUUUUAUUGGACGAGAAGACCCUAUAGAUCUUUAUUAUAUUUAUUAAUUAAUUAUUUGGUUUAUUAUUUAUUUAUUUAUUAUUUAUUAUUUGGUUGGGGUGACAUUGAGAUAUAAAAAACUCUUUUUUAUUAUUAUCAUUUAUUUAUGUUUUAUUGACCUUUUAUUAUUGUUAUAAGAUAUAGAUACCUUAGGGAUAACAGCGUAAUUCUUUUUGAAAGUUCUUAUUUACGGAAGAGAUUGCGACCUCGAUGUUGGAUUAAGAUUAAUAGUUGGUGUAGAAGCUACAUUAUUAGGUCUGUUCGACCUUUAAAUUCUUACAUGAUCUGAGUUCAAA